This 72-nucleotide transfer RNA is filed under the name Ovis aries (sheep). It matches the Rfam family "tRNA". From Rfam's summary of the family: Transfer RNA (tRNA) molecules are approximately 80 nucleotides in length. Their secondary structure includes four short double-helical elements and three loops (D, anti-codon, and T loops). The record is from Rfam by way of RNAcentral. Lineage: Eukaryota; Metazoa; Chordata; Mammalia; Artiodactyla; Bovidae.
UCCCUUGAAGCUCAGUUGGUAAAGAAUCUGCCUGCAGUGCAGGAAACCCGGGUUUGAUCCCUGGCUUGGGAA